Long non-coding RNA from Brienomyrus brachyistius, 494 nucleotides. RefSeq lists it as uncharacterized. Lineage: Eukaryota; Metazoa; Chordata; Actinopteri; Osteoglossiformes; Mormyridae. The record is from RefSeq and is a predicted model, not a curated record. The transcript has 3 exons.
UGAACUAGUAGAAGGGUUCUGGUUGCAGACUGAGGAGGACCGUAAGAACCUGGCACGUCUACAGGACCUCAUCAACAAACUGCAGUCCAAGGUGAAGAGCUACAAACGCCAAGCUGAGGAAGUGGCUGAAGGAGGAGCAGGUGAACUCCAACCUGGCCAAGUUCAAGAUGGUGGAGAUGGCAGAAACGCUGGUCAACAAGCUAAACCUCCGAACCCAGGACCACGGAGGGAAGGCAGCAGAGUGAAGCGCCCCCAAACUCUGGAAAAUGUGUGGAACCACAAAACAGCUACAGUGUGGGGUAGAGAAAAAGAACUACACGCUGUAAUAACCCAUUAGGCUUGAAACAUGUAUGCUACCCAGAGCAACCACUGGCAGAAGGGGACAGGACAUGAACCUGCAGUUUGCCAAUAUUCCCAGAAGGUGGUGCUCUUGUACCUCUCAGCUAUGCAUCAGAAUUCACCCUGUCUGGAUAAAUGAAAGCAAACCAACAAAA